CGCCGAAAGACCAAGGUUUCCUGCGCAACGUUCAUCGGCGCAGGGUUAGUCGGCCCCUAAGGCGAGGCCGAAAGGCGUAGUCGAUGGGAAACAGGUUAAUAUUCCUGUACCGGAUAUAGCUGCGAUGGGGUGACGGAGAAGGUUAGGCUGGCCUGGCGAUGGUUGUCCAGGUUUAAGCACGUAGGCUGGGGACUUAGGUAAAUCCGGGUCCCUAAGGCCGAGAUGUGAUGACGAACCGUUCUUAUACGAACGGGAAGUGGUCGAUACCAUGCUUCCAAGAAAAACCUCUAAGCUUCAGGCUAUAAACGACCGUACCCCAAACCGACACAGG
Molecule: ribosomal RNA, 331 nt
Filed under: Picochlorum sp. RCC944
Lineage: Eukaryota; Viridiplantae; Chlorophyta; Trebouxiophyceae
Description: partial Bacterial large subunit ribosomal RNA
Rfam family: Bacterial large subunit ribosomal RNA
Source: RNAcentral